This 1354-nucleotide long non-coding RNA is filed under the name Salmo salar (Atlantic salmon). RNAcentral describes it as "lncRNA (ENSSSAG00000112676.1)". The record is from RNAcentral. Lineage: Eukaryota; Metazoa; Chordata; Actinopteri; Salmoniformes; Salmonidae.
CUCUGUCACAUGAUAGGCCUCUGUCUCAAGAGUCUUUUCCUUCAAGGGUCAACAUUGACACCAGAAUGAGUGUUUGGUUGAUCAUGUUGCAGCAGGUUGACUUGACCAGGUGCUGCUAGUUAGGUGUUGCUAUCUACAGUACAGAGACGACCUCAAAGCUGAAUAUUUUCCAGUGACAUCACGUUGGUUUGAAACCUGUUUACCUCGAUGCUAGACAAUCCCCUUCAUGUCACAACAUGGGUUUCAGAUAGAAGGUGAAAACAAGCUGAAAACGUUCCUCUCCAUCGAACCAAUCGCUGCUCGUAUGUCCUUUCAUGGUAAAGUACAUCUAUUCAUGAACAUGGAAAUACACAGCAAAGACCUUGUUACUCAAAGACCCAGCUACUCUCUGACAGUCACCAUCAGACCAUCAGACCACCAGAUGGACAGGCUGUGUGUUUCUCUGAUUGCAUUCUUGUGUGCUGUUUCCUCCAGUCAGGAUGGGAUCUCUGCAGCAGAGGUGGAGCUGAGAGUCAGACCAGGAGACAACGUUGUUCUUCACUGUGAUGUCAAACACCAUGAUAAAACACAUUGGCAUAGAAACAGCUCCAUUGAGAAUGUGGGUAAUUUCAGUGUUUCAAACCAGGAAAUAAUGGACAAUCCUGUCCCUCGCUUCUAUUUCCUGUGGCGUUCUCAAAAGUUCUGGGAUCUGCUGAUUGAGAAUGUGACUGAAUCUGACCUGGGACUCUACUACUGUGGGAGCUGGAAGAAGAAGUUGUUGAACUUUGAAGGGGUUAGCGAUACAGUAGAAACGUUCAUAUCUAACAAUGGAAAAGUCAACACCAGACUUUCAUUUGAAACCAGUCCUCCUGACUGUCUGUUGCCAGAAACCAGUCCUCCAGAGCCCUCCUCCUCCCCUCCUCCUGUAGACUGUGGGCUGUGUUGGAUGUUGCUGUUAAGUCUGUGUCCUGUGUCUGCUCUCCUCUCCUCUCUCCUCUCCUCCACCUGUGUCUACUCCUUCUGCAGAACAACAGCUACAACUGAGACUCAGGUUCCUCUGAACAGGACUACCACCAGGGGGGGUGACAGCAGAGAGAAGACCUAUACCAUCUAACAGUGAGACCUAUACCAUCAAUACCAUCAGAGUGUGAGACCUAUACCAUCCAUCAAUACCAGUGGAGUGAGACCAAUACCAUCCAUCAAUACCAGCAGAGUGAGACCUAUACCAUCCAUCAAUACCAGCAGAGUGAGACCUAUACCAUCCAUCAAUACCAUCAGAGUGUGAGACCUAUACCAUCCAUCAAUACCAGUGGAGUGAGACCAAUACCAUCCAUCAAUACCAGCAGAGUGUGAGACCUAUACCAUCCAUCAAUAC